UACGGGGGGGGCAAGCGUUGUUCGGAAUUACUGGGCGUAAAGGGCUCGUAGGUUGCCAACUAAGUCAGACGUGAAAUCCCUCGGCUUAACCGGGGAACUGCGUCUGAUACUGGAUGGCUUGAGUUCGGGAGAGGGAUGCAGAAUUCCAGGUGUAGCGGUGAAAUGCGUAGAUAUCUGGAGGAAUACCGGUGGCGAAGGCGGCAUCCUGGACCGGCAUUGACGCUGAUGAGCGAAAGCUAGGGGAGCAAACGGG
RNAcentral lists this ribosomal RNA (253 nucleotides) under uncultured bacterium. Its description in RNAcentral is "partial 16S ribosomal RNA". It matches the Rfam family "Bacterial small subunit ribosomal RNA", at positions 524 to 776 of the family's 1533-position model. The record is from RNAcentral.